RNAcentral lists this RNase P RNA (405 nucleotides) under Anaerolineaceae bacterium. RNAcentral describes it as "RNase P RNA component class A". It matches the Rfam family "Bacterial RNase P class A". From Rfam's summary of the family: Ribonuclease P (RNase P) is a ubiquitous endoribonuclease, found in archaea, bacteria and eukarya as well as chloroplasts and mitochondria. Its best characterised activity is the generation of mature 5'-ends of tRNAs by cleaving the 5'-leader elements of precursor-tRNAs. Lineage: Bacteria; Bacillati; Chloroflexota; Anaerolineae; Anaerolineales; Anaerolineaceae. The record is from RNAcentral.
CAGGCUGGUCAGAGGGUCGCGGAACGCAUUGCGUUUCGAGGAAAGUCCGCACUCCACAGGGCACGGUGCCGGGUAACACCCGGAGCGGGGACUCCUUCGGGAGGAACCCACUGGAUCGGGCCACAGAAAGACACCACCCGCAAGGGUAAGGGUGAAAUGGCGGUGUAAGAGACCACCGGCGCCGCAGUAAUGCGGCGGCCAGGCAACCCCCACCAGGAGCAAGGCCAAGCAGGGACGAUGUCCGCCUUCGAGCGGCAGGAAGCUGCCCGCUUCUUCAUUAGUCCCGGGUAGGCUGCACGAGCUGGAUGGCAACAUCCAGCCUAGAGAGAUGACCUUCCCUUCAGGAGCCGUGCGAAAGCAUACCCUCUUGAUCGACAGAAUGCGGCUUAUCGACCAGCCUGACGU